AUACGAUCUAUGGAGUGAAAGACGGGGAGUCGCAAGACCUCGCGCGAUUGGAGCGGCCGAUAUCAGAUUAGGUAGUUGGUGAGGUAAAGGCUCACCAAGCCGACGAUCUGUAGCUGGUCUGAGAGGACGACCAGCCACACUGGGACUGAGACACGGCCCAGACUCCUACGGGAGGCAGCAGUGGGGAAUUUUGGACAAUGGGCGCAAGCCUGAUCCAGCAAUGCCGCGUGCAGGAUGAAGGCCUUCGGGUUGUAAACUGCUUUUGUACGGAACGAAACGGCGAGCUCUAGUACAGUUUGCUAAUGACGGUACCGUAAGAAUAAGCACCGGCUAACUACGUG
This 341-nucleotide ribosomal RNA is filed under the name uncultured bacterium. Its description in RNAcentral is "bacterial SSU rRNA". It matches the Rfam family "Bacterial small subunit ribosomal RNA", at positions 166 to 507 of the family's 1533-position model. The record is from RNAcentral.